Molecule: long non-coding RNA, 2449 nt
Organism: Callithrix jacchus (white-tufted-ear marmoset)
Lineage: Eukaryota; Metazoa; Chordata; Mammalia; Primates; Cebidae
Source: Ensembl
GGAACCAUGGGCCCCUGGACACACCCAGACCCUCCUUGGCAUCUACUCUUCCCCACCCAGCUCUGUUCUCCUCCACAGGGUCUUCCUGUGAGAUGCAUCAGGAUGAGGGGAGCAGCAAGGGCACCUGAGUGUGGCCCAUUUCAUGUUGCAGAUCAAAGUGUCAACACGGGGCCAGCAGCGUCAUCGUGUGUUCUCAUGGGGCCACCGGAACCGUCGUGUGUUCUCAUGCCACAGGCUCCUUGGAUUUGGAAUUGAGUUUCCACUGCCAGCUGCUGGAGCCUCGCUCCUAGAAGCCCCAUGUCCACCUGGGUGUGCACAGGGAAAGUCGGGGAGCCUCGAGAUGGGCCGGAAGAUCCUCCAGCAACGGCACCAGCCACGCUGCAGUCACCUUGACCCUGCCCCAGGAGCUCCUGGGCCAAAGGCAGACUGAGCACGUUCUACAUACCUGCCCCAGCUUUUGCCUCCUCCUUCUGAACUCCUCGAGGAAGGCACCAUCUGCAUUUUACAGAGCAGGAGCUGAGGCACAGGGAGGUUGCUAGGCUGACUGUGGCAGCACAGCGGGGACGUGACUGUGUGGCUAGACCAGGAGCAGCCUUGUGGCCGCUGUUCUCCACUGACCCGAGUAGGGCCAGGGAGGAUGGCAGAGCCCCGUUCUCUCAUGGGCAACAGCCACGCCUCAGCUCCAGCCGGAGUGAGAGAACCCCUGCCAGGUUGGAUGUGGGUUGUGUGGCACCAGCCUUGCUGAAGGCACACGCCACGGUUCCGGGCAAGUUUGAGGGGCUUCUUGCCAGCUCAGACUCAGGCUCUGUCCACUUCCUGUGACUGGCAUGGGAGUGGGGCAGCUGAGGGAGCAGGCAGGACACGCAUGGAUGGGUUUGUUGGAAAGAUGUGUGCCCCUCUUCCUGGGGGCCGUCAAAGCCCACGGCCUGAUCUGAGUCCCUCCCACUUCCCACAGCAAACACCUUGCUCAAGCUGAGAAAGGGCCUGGGCCAGCCCCGCUUGGGGGAGGUGGUUUGCAGAGGGAGGCACUGAGGUGCCAGCGGCGCAAGCUCAUGUGGGAGCCUACCCAUGACGCCUUAACCUCUCCCACGAGGGUGGGGGAUGAGGAAGGGGAUCCUGCCCUGGCAGAGACAGGCCUGAGGCCUGGUCAGCUGGCCCCACCCCAGGGAGAUGAGUCCAUCAAUCCAUCCCCACCUGGGGCCCCCUCCCUGACGCUCGCCGUGAUCAGGGUCUGCAGGCCACUGUGCAGGACUUCCACAUAGCUGGGCUCCAGGCACAGUCGGCCCCCGACACCAGGGCCUGGCCAUGGGGGGCCCCCAAGGUCAGCAGCCAGCUGCUUCUCGUGCAGAUAGCCCAGCCAGUGCUCACGCCACCAGGAGCGAUGCUGGGAGAGGCUGAAGGUCAGUAGCUCGCUGUCCUAAGGUGAGGAACAGGGCCGGUUAGCACACGGGGAGGUGGCCGGCCUCACCCACUGCAGCCUGCGGGGACACCACCACAGAGGCCAGAGGUCCUGUCCUCCGCCUUCCUGCACUCUGCCCCCCUGGGCUCCAUCCUUGGUGGCGAAGGAAUACCAAGGCCCUCCCAGCCCCUCCUGUGCCUGCUCUCGACCCGAACACCUCCUCCUCCAGGAAGGCCUCCCUGCUCAGACCCCAGGACUGCUCUCAGGUGCACUAGGCCCCUUCCUCGUGUCUCUGGCUAAAGCUGCCAUUUGACCUGUGUCUGACUCAGGACAGUUUCCUGAGCUGCAACCCAGGAGACUGUCCUGAGUCAGACACAGGUCAAAUGUGUGGCUCUAGGAAGCGGGGGCCUGUCUGCCCAGGUGGGCACCUGCCCUAGUGCCCACCUGUGUCACACCAGCCAGAGCAGAGAGCCCCCAGGGGAGACCAAACUCCACCCCUCCUCGGCUUUAGGACCAACCUCUGAGCUGCAAGGAAAGUGCCUGAAACAUCCCCUGUCAGGGUCAGGGUCAGGGUCUGGGUGGGCUCCGUGAUGACCCCCCAGCCCCCAUUUCCUCAGUUUCCUGCAGUGCAGGAGGCACCAGGGUUUACCAGCCUGGAGGGUUUCGCCGGCCGGGACCAAGAACCCCACGUGGCCUCAGGAGGGUGGUGUCCGUUCGCCUGCACAUCUCUGCCAGGGCUAGUCUCUGCUCUGAGGCCCCUCUCCCCCAGCUGAAGCCCCCUCACCUGCCAACACCCACAGACACCUUCAUUCACCAAUCAAACCACUGGUUUCUCCCAGACCUUUACUGAAUCAGCAACUACCCACUAGGGCUGUUCUGGGUACUGGGGACAGAGCCACGCACAGACUGAACCCCUGGCUCCCACAACAGACACAGGGGGUGUUAGGUGGAGCCUGGUCAGGACCCCAGGAAGUACCCUGCACUGCCUUCCCACCUGCACUCACCUGUCUCUCGGGUGAUGAAGCAGAUGAGGAAGAUGUUCCAGGUGAC